This 1624-nucleotide ribosomal RNA is filed under the name uncultured fungus. Its description in RNAcentral is "eukaryotic LSU rRNA". The stretch from base 801 to 1624 matches the Rfam family "Eukaryotic large subunit ribosomal RNA", at positions 1 to 667 of the family's 3401-position model. The record is from RNAcentral. Lineage: Eukaryota; Fungi.
CUUGGUCAUUUAGAGGAAGUAAAAGUCGUAACAAGGUUUCCGUAGGUGAACCUGCGGAAGGAUCAUUACAAACGUAUCCACGUAUAAACCAAACAGUUGAAUUUGUUUCUUAUGAUAUUCGUCCGUUAGGCUGGGCUUGUAGUUGCUUUUUGGGAUGUAACGAGAUGCAUCUUGAAAGUGAUUCGGUAGUCUUUCAUUAGACCGCUACCCUACCUAGUUCGCGAAUCAAAACAUUUUUCAUUCUCACCAUUUUAACCCAUUUCACCCAAUUUCUUUUAAUUGAACUUAAACUGAUUCGAGAGGGAGACUUCUCUGAAUUAAAAAAAUACGAAAUUAAGAACAACUCUUAACAACGGAUAUCUUGGCUCUCGUAACGAUGAAGAACGCAGCGAAAUGCGAUACGUAAUGCGAAUUGCAGAAUUCAGUGAAUCAUCAAAUCUUCGAACGCAAAUUGCGCUUUCGGGAUAGUCCUGAAAGCACGCCUCUUUGAGUAUCGAUUCAACCAACGCUCUACGGCGUGCUUAGCUUUGUCUAAGUGUGUGCAGUAGGAGUUGAACUGAGUUUCAUAGCAGUUAAAUGCUAUGUGACUUUAAGCAACGACAGACGUUCCUAGAUGCGUGAAAGCAUGUAAGUUGAACCUGUCGGCCAAAAGCAAUGCGGUUAAUUUGUCCUUCGGGGUGAAUACGACAUGCAUUUGUUUGAAGCUGACGUUCCCUUUGCGGGGAAAGGGUACGAUUGAAGCUUUCUGUUAACUAGGAGCUACUUCCGAGCCUUAGUGGCAAGGAAAUCACCUUCGAUUUAGAUCUCAAAUGAAGCGAGAAAACCCGCCGAACUUAAGCAUAUCAUUAAGCGGAGGAAAAGAAACUAACAAGGAUGCCGUUAGUAACGGCGAGUGAAGCGGGCAAAGCUCAACUUGAAAAUCGGGGCCCCUUUGGGGUUUCGAAUUGUAGUCUAGAGACGCGCCAUCAGCAAGUGACCCUGGUAUAAAUCUUUUGAAACAAGGUAUCAUAGAGGGUGAGAAUCCCGUCUUUGACUAGGAGUUCACUGCGUACGAUGCGUGUUCGUAGAGUCGGGUUGCUUGGGAUUGCAGCUCAAAAUGGGUGGUAAAUUUCAUCUAAAGCUAAAUAUCGACGAGAGACCGAUAGCAAACAAGUACCGUGAGGGAAAGAUGAAAAGAACUUUGAAAAGAGAGUUAAAAAGUACUUGAAAUUGUUAAGAGGGAAGCACUGGAAACCAGUCGUGCUCUGUGCCAUAUUUAUCGUCGCCUGGCAAAGGGAGUUUGUUCGGCGAUCGCAAGACGCCGUGUGGGCUUCGGAUGUUGGGUGGCGAGUUCUGUGGUAUGGGGUGAGUCAGAAUGAGUUCGCUGCGCGGGAGAAAGCUAGCUUGGACGAUAGGACGGAGGGGGCAACUCCAAAGUCUGAAGCCGGUUAGUGCUACCGUGUGGUGGAUUGAGGACUGGAAAUACGCACCACUAGGCUUCGGUUCCUGGUCCCUGGCGUGUACGUCUGCUUUGGACAACAAAGUUGUGCGGGUGGGCGUGCGUGUCACUGGGCUGGGCCAACCAGAUGCAGUAUUCGAGAUUCUGACGAAAUGGUUUUCAUUGACCCGUCUUGAAACACGGACC